GCUACACAUGCAAGUCGAACGAACUCUUCGGAGUUAGUGGSGGACGGGUGAGUAACACGUGGGAACGUGCCUUUUGGUUCGGAAUAACUCAGGGAAACUUGUGCUAAUACCGAAUGUGCCCUUCGGGGGAAAGAUUUAUCGCCAUUAGAGCGGCCCGCGUCUGAUUAGCUAGUUGGUGAGGUAAAGGCUCMCCAAGGCGACGAUCAGUAGCUGGUCUGAGAGGAUGAUCAGCCACAUUGGGACUGAGACACGGCCCAAACUCCUACGGGAGGCAGCAGUGGGGAAUCUUGCGCAAUGGGCGAAAGCCUGACGCAGCCAUGCCGCGUGAAUGAUGAAGGUCUUAGGAUUGUAAAAUUCUUUCACCGGGGACGAUAAUGACGGUACCCGGAGAAGAAGCCCCGGCUAACUUCGUGCCAGCAGCCGCGGUAAUACGAAGGGGGCUAGCGUUGCUCGGAAUUACUGGGCGUAAAGGGAGCGUAGGCGGACAUUUAAGUCAGGGGUGAAAUCCCGGGGCUCAACCUCGGAAUUGCCUUUGAUACUGGUGUCUUGAGUAUGAGAGAGGUAUGUGGAACUCCGAGUGUAGAGGUGAAAUUCGUAGAUAUUCGGAAGAACACCAGUGGCGAAGGCGACAUACUGGCUCAUUACUGACGCUGAGGCUCGAAAGCGUGGGGAGCAA
RNAcentral lists this ribosomal RNA (676 nucleotides) under uncultured bacterium. RNAcentral describes it as "bacterial SSU rRNA". It matches the Rfam family "Bacterial small subunit ribosomal RNA", at positions 48 to 771 of the family's 1533-position model. The record is from RNAcentral.